UACGUAGGUGGCAAGCGUUGUCCGGAUUUACUGGGCGUAAAGAGCGCGCAGGCGGUCGUUCAAGUCGCGUGUGAAAGCCCCCGGCUCAACUGGGGAGGGUCACGCGAUACUGAUCGACUCGAAGGCAGGAGAGGGUAGUGGAAUUCCCGGUGUAGUGGUGAAAUGCGUAGAUAUCGGGAGGAACACCAGUGGCGAAGGCAGCUCACUACACAAUCAUUGACGCUGAGGCACGAAAGCGUGGGGAUCAAACAGG
This 253-nucleotide ribosomal RNA is filed under the name uncultured bacterium. RNAcentral describes it as "partial 16S ribosomal RNA". It matches the Rfam family "Bacterial small subunit ribosomal RNA", at positions 524 to 776 of the family's 1533-position model. The record is from RNAcentral.